Molecule: ribosomal RNA, 493 nt
Filed under: uncultured Streptococcus sp.
Lineage: Bacteria; Bacillati; Bacillota; Bacilli; Lactobacillales; Streptococcaceae
Description: bacterial SSU rRNA
Rfam family: Bacterial small subunit ribosomal RNA
Source: RNAcentral
UACAUGCAAGUAGAACGCUGAAGGGAGAGCUUGCUCUUCUGGAUGAGUUGCGAACGGGUGAGUAACGCGUAGGUAAACCUGCCCUGGUAUGGGGGGAUAACUAUUGGAAACGAUAGCUAAUACCGCAUAAUAGUAGAUGUUGCAUGACAUUUGCUUAAAAGGUGCAAAUUGCAUCACUACCAGAUGGACCUGCGUUGUAUUAGCUAGUUGGUGGGGUAACGGCUCACCAAGGCGACGAUACAUAGCCGACCUGAGAGGGUGAUCGGCCACACUGGGGACUGAGACACGGCCCAGACUCCUACGGGAGGCAGCAGUAGGGAAUCUUCGGCAAUGGACGGAAGUCUGACCGAGCAACGCCGCGUGAGUGAAGAAGGUUUUCGGAUCGUAAAGCUCUGUUGUAAGAGAAGAACGAGUGUGAGAGUGGAAAGUUCACACUGUGACGGUAUCUUACCAGAAAGGGACGGCUAACUACGUGCCAGCAGCCGCGGGUAAU